GACCGCGUAGCUCGGUUGGCAGAGCAUUGGGCUAGUAUUCCAAAGGUCGUAGGUUCGAUUCCCACUGUGGACA
Molecule: transfer RNA, 73 nt
Filed under: Paramuricea clavata
Lineage: Eukaryota; Metazoa; Cnidaria; Anthozoa; Malacalcyonacea; Plexauridae
Rfam family: tRNA
About the family: Transfer RNA (tRNA) molecules are approximately 80 nucleotides in length.
Source: Rfam by way of RNAcentral